GCUUCUCUGAUGUUAGCGGCGGAAGGGUGAGUAACACGUGGGUAACCUACCUAUAAGACUGGGAUAACUCCGGGAAACCGGGGCUAAUACCGGAUAAUAUUUUGAACCGCAUGGUUCGAUAGUGAAAGACGGUUUCGGCUGUCACUUAUAGAUGGACCCGCGCCGUAUUAGCUAGUUGGUAAGGUAACGGCUUACCAAGGCGACGAUACGUAGCCGACCUGAGAGGGUGAUCGGCCACACUUUGAACUGAGACACGGUCCAGACUCCUACGGGAGGCAGCAGUAGGGAAUCUUCCGCAAUGGGCGAAAGCCUGACGGAGCAACGCCGCGUGAGUGAUGAAGGUCUUCGGAUCGUAAAACUCUGUUGUUAGGGAAGAACAAAUUUGUUAGUAACUGAACAAGUCUUGACGGUACCUAACCAGAAAGCCACGGCUAACUACGUGCCAGCAGCCGCGGUAAUACGUAGGUGGCAAGCGUUAUCCGGAAUUAUUGGGCGUAAAGCGCGCGUAGGCGGUUUCUUAAGUCUGAUGUGAAAGCCCACGGCUCAACCGUGGAGGGUCAUUGGAAACUGGGAAACUUGAGUGCAGAAGAGGAGAGUGGAAUUCCAUGUGUAGCGGUGAAAUGCGCAGAGAUAUGGAGGAACACCAGUGGCGAAAGCGGCUCUCUGGUCUGUAACUGACGCUGAUGUGCGAAAGCGUGGGGAUCAAACAGGAUUAGAUACCCUGGUAGUCCACGCCGUAACGAUGAGUGCUAAGUGUUAGGGGUUUCCGCCCCUUAGUGCUGCAGCUAACGCAUUAAGCACUCCGCCUGGGGAGUACGACCGCAAGGUUGA
This 831-nucleotide ribosomal RNA is filed under the name Staphylococcus sp. Its description in RNAcentral is "bacterial SSU rRNA". It matches the Rfam family "Bacterial small subunit ribosomal RNA", at positions 79 to 897 of the family's 1533-position model. The record is from RNAcentral. Lineage: Bacteria; Bacillati; Bacillota; Bacilli; Caryophanales; Staphylococcaceae.